Molecule: ribosomal RNA, 407 nt
Filed under: uncultured bacterium
Lineage: Bacteria
Description: partial 16S ribosomal RNA
Rfam family: Bacterial small subunit ribosomal RNA
Source: RNAcentral
GACGAACGCUGGCGGCGUGCCUAAUACAUGCAAGUAGGACGCAGUUGCGAAUGGGUGAGUAACGCGUUGGUAACUGCCUAUUAGAGGGGGAUAACUAUUGGAAACGAUAGCUAAUACCGCAUACUAGUUGAUGGAUCUGCGUUGUAUUAGCUAGUAGGUAGGGUAAUCGCCUACCUAGGCGACGGAACAUAGCCGGACUGGGAAGGGGAUCGGCCCACCCGGGACUGGAGCACUGGCCAGACUCCUACGGGAGGCAGGAGUAGGGAAUCUUCGGCAAUGGGGGGAACCCUGACCGAGGAACGCCGCGUGAGUGAAGAAGGUUUUCGGAACGUAAAGCUCUGUUGUUAAGGGAGCGGUACUUAACCAGAAAGGGACGGCUAACUACGUGCCAGCAGCCGCGGUAAUAC